CAAGUCGUUCAACAGUUUCUGACUCCAUAUUGGGGACGGUGCGAAUGGAAAAUUUACCAAUAACUUUCGCGGGAAUAACCGUUUUAGCACCACUGCCACUAAAGGCACCUUCAAUACCAUGAAGUGAAAGUGUAGGAUAUCUCCAGCGAUGUUGAAGUGUUCUCUUGGGAUCGGGAUAAAUAGAAAUAUCAGCACCGACCGCCUCUUUCAAAUCUUCCAUUGUAUAAUCAAUUCCAUCAUAAAUACUAUCCUCGGUAGGUGUGAGUUCUGCU
Molecule: non-coding RNA, 272 nt
Organism: Schizosaccharomyces pombe (fission yeast)
Lineage: Eukaryota; Fungi; Ascomycota; Schizosaccharomycetes; Schizosaccharomycetales; Schizosaccharomycetaceae
Source: the annotation of a GenBank genome assembly